GGAGUUAGCCGGUGCUUCUUCUGCGAGUAACGUCACAGAUGUAAGGUAUUAACUUACACCCUUUCCUCCUCGCUGAAAGUGCUUUACAACCCGAAGGCCUUCUUCACACACGCGGCAUGGCUGCAUCAGGGUUUCCCCCAUUGUGCAAUAUUCCCCACUGCUGCCUCCCGUAGGAGUCUGGGCCGUGUCUCAGUCCCAGUGUGGCUGAUCAUCCUCUCAGACCAGCUAGGGAUCGUCGCCUAGGUGAGCCUUUACCUCACCUACUAGCUAAUCCCACCUGGGCUUAUCCAUCAGCGCAACGGCCCGAACGGUCCCUGUCCUUUCCCCCGGUAGGGCGUAUGCGGUAUUAGCAGUCGUUUACCAACUGUUACUCCCCCACAAAUGGGACAAACUUCCCAGGCAUUACUCACCCGUCCGCCGCUCGUCAUCUUACAAAACGCAAGUCUUUUAGAAAUGUUACCGCUCGACUUGCAUGUGUUAGGCCUGCCGCCAGCGUUACAAUCUGACGCCAUGAUACAAACUCUAGA
RNAcentral lists this ribosomal RNA (527 nucleotides) under uncultured bacterium. RNAcentral describes it as "partial 16S ribosomal RNA". The record is from RNAcentral.